RNAcentral lists this ribosomal RNA (1372 nucleotides) under uncultured bacterium. RNAcentral describes it as "bacterial SSU rRNA". It matches the Rfam family "Bacterial small subunit ribosomal RNA", at positions 28 to 1381 of the family's 1533-position model. The record is from RNAcentral.
GAUGAACGCUGGCGGCGUGCCUAAUACAUGCAAGUCGAGCGAACGGACGAGAAGCUUGCUUCUCUGAUGUUAGCGGCGGACGGGUGAGUAACACGUGGAUAACCUACCUAUAAGACUGGGAUAACUUCGGGAAACCGGAGCUAAUACCGGAUAAUAUUUUGAACCGCAUGGUUCAAAAGUGAAAGACGGUCUUGCUGUCACUUAUAGAUGGAUCCGCGCUGCAUUAGCUAGUUGGUAAGGUAACGGCUUACCAAGGCAACGAUGCAUAGCCGACCUGAGAGGGUGAUCGGCCACACUGGAACUGAGACACGGUCCAGACUCCUACGGGAGGCAGCAGUAGGGAAUCUUCCGCAAUGGGCGAAAGCCUGACGGAGCAACGCCGCGUGAGUGAUGAAGGUCUUCGGAUCGUAAAACUCUGUUAUUAGGGAAGAACAUAUGUGUAAGUAACUGUGCACAUCUUGACGGUACCUAAUCAGAAAGCCACGGCUAACUACGUGCCAGCAGCCGCGGUAAUACGUAGGUGGCAAGCGUUAUCCGGAAUUAUUGGGCGUAAAGCGCGCGUAGGCGGUUUUUUAAGUCUGAUGUGAAAGCCCACGGCUCAACCGUGGAGGGUCAUUGGAAACUGGAAAACUUGAGUGCAGAAGAGGAAAGUGGAAUUCCAUGUGUAGCGGUGAAAUGCGCAGAGAUAUGGAGGAACACCAGUGGCGAAGGCGACUUUCUGGUCUGUAACUGACGCUGAUGUGCGAAAGCGUGGGGAUCAGACAGGAUUAGAUACCCUGGUAGUCCACGCCGUAAACGAUGAGUGCUAAGUGUUAGGGGGUUUCCGCCCCUUAGUGCUGCAGCUAACGCAUUAAGCACUCCGCCUGGGGAGUACGACCGCAAGGUUGAAACUCAAAGGAAUUGACGGGGACCCGCACAAGCGGUGGAGCAUGUGGUUUAAUUCGAAGCAACGCGAAGAACCUUACCAAAUCUUGACAUCCUUUGACAACUCUAGAGAUAGAGCCUUCCCCUUCGGGGGACAAAGUGACAGGUGGUGCAUGGUUGUCGUCAGCUCGUGUCGUGAGAUGUUGGGUUAAGUCCCGCAACGAGCGCAACCCUUAAGCUUAGUUGCCAUCAUUAAGUUGGGCACUCUAAGUUGACUGCCGGUGACAAACCGGAGGAAGGUGGGGAUGACGUCAAAUCAUCAUGCCCCUUAUGAUUUGGGCUACACACGUGCUACAAUGGACAAUACAAAGGGCAGCGAAACCGCGAGGUCAAGCAAAUCCCAUAAAGUUGUUCUCAGUUCGGAUUGUAGUCUGCAACUCGACUACAUGAAGCUGGAAUCGCUAGUAAUCGUAGAUCAGCAUGCUACGGUGAAUACGUUCCCGGGUCU